UGCGAGGUUAGUAAACAUCAGGGAGUACUUGUAAUGUAAAAUUAAAACAGGGGUGCGAGAUAAAGAAAAAAAGGGGUGCACUGAGAUAAAAAAUGGGUGUAUGUAAAUAUUAAAGAUGGGGACGCGCGGAGUAAAGAUGGGUCAACCAACCCAAACCCAACCUCUUAUUUUUUUAAAAGAAUCAGAAACCCUAAAGGGUUUAUUUCUCUUCCUCUCACAUGCGGCUCCUCCCUUGCAAAGUCCGCAGCCGUCGCACCACCACGCCACCACGCCACCAUCAGCAGGCUUGCCGGCGACGCCAAUCGUCGUUGACGACAAGAGCCCAGACUCGAACUACAUUCGCGCGAGCACCCAGGGUCGCUGCCAUCGCCAGCAACAGUCAGAGCUAGAGUCAUCGUUGGCGGCCACUUCCUUGGCACAAUUUCUCUCUUCCUCGCGUGGAGCCAACGCUGGAAUCAAGGUUGCCGCACAUUUCUGUUCAAUCGUUUAGCUCGCCGCCGACAAUUUUUUUCUUUCCUCUCUGUUUCCGAUUACACUGAAUGGAAGGGGAUUAGGUUUUAGGAGAUGCGGGUGUUUGGUAUUGGAAUGGGGGUUCCGUUCGGUGGUUUAGUUGGAAGAAGAUUGGAGAAGGUGAAUGUAGGUAUGCAGGUGAGUAAUGAAGACGAGAAUGAAAGUGGUUCAGGUUCAAUGCAGGAAGACGAGAAAUGGGGAUUGCGUGGCAUUGAUGAUGGUUUCAUGCGUGUUGGAUGAAGAUGAUGAUAUUGAUUCAAAUGAGUUUGAGAAUGAAAAAUUGUGACGAAAGAAUUGGCGAGGAGGUGUAGGUUAUGAAUGGAUGAUGAUGUGCGAGAGUGUAUAAAUUCAAAUAAAUUCAACGCAUACGUUCAGAAGCAUCAUUGUUAGACAAAGCCAACAGAAGUUAAGCAGCUAAAGGUGGAUCGUGGGAGCUUUUGGAAGGCAUUUUAUCAUGUUUUCUUUCUUUUCCCUUACAAGUAUUAGUGUAAUAAUGUUGAUGCAGGUGAGCAUACAGAUGCAUAGAGAGAUGGAAUGGGGAUCACUAUGGGACAAUUUUCUUAAAUUUCAUCAUGGAUUUUCCUUUUGUAAUUUUUUUAUUUAUUACCGAGGAUUUGGUUUUGUAAUAAAUGAAUAUUGCAAUUUUAUUUUUUUCACAUAUGCGACAUUUGAAGACUUAAUUUUCCCACAUUUUUGGGAAAU
This is a long non-coding RNA of Vigna unguiculata (cowpea), 1212 nucleotides long. RefSeq lists it as uncharacterized. NCBI's taxonomy places the organism in Eukaryota, Viridiplantae, Streptophyta, Magnoliopsida, Fabales, Fabaceae. The record is from RefSeq and is a predicted model, not a curated record.